GAGAAUGCCGGUGUGAGUAGCGAAAGACGGGUGAGAAUCCCGUCCACCGAUUGACUAAGGUUUCCAGAGGAAGGCUCGUCCGCUCUGGGUUAGUCGGGUCCUAAGCUGAGGCCGACAGGCGUAGGCGAUGGAUAACAGGUUGAUAUUCCUGUACCACCUAUAAUCGUUUUAAUCGAUGGGGGGACGCAGUAGGAUAGGCGAAGCGUGCGAUUGGAUUGCACGUCUAAGCAGUAAGGCUGAGUAUUAGGCAAAUCCGGUACUCGUUAAGGCUGAGCUGUGAUGGGGAGAAGACAUUGUGUCUUCGAGUCGUUGAUUUCACACUGCCGAGAAAAGCCUCUAGAUAGAAAAUAGGUGCCCGUACCGCAAACCGACACAGGUAGUCAAGAUGAGAAUUCUAAGGUGAGCGAGCGAACUCUCGUUAAGGAACUCGGCAAAAUGACCCCGUAACUUCGGGAGAAGGGGUGCUCUUUAGGGUUAACGCCCAGAAGAGCCGCAGUGAAUAGGCCCAAGCGACUGUUUAUCAAAAACACAGGUCUCUGCUAAACCGUAAGGUGAUGUAUAGGGGCUGACGCCUGCCCGGUGCUGGAAGGUUAAGAGGAGUGGUUAGCUUCUGCGAAGCUACGAAUCGAAGCCCCAGUAAACGGCGGCCGUAACUAUAACGGUCCUAAGGUAGCGAAAUUCCUUGUCGGGUAAGUUCCGACCCGCACGAAAGGCGUAACGAUUUGGGCACUGUCUCAACGAGAGACUCGGUGAAAUCAUAGUACC
Molecule: ribosomal RNA, 765 nt
Filed under: Staphylococcus aureus
Lineage: Bacteria; Bacillati; Bacillota; Bacilli; Caryophanales; Staphylococcaceae
Description: partial 23S ribosomal RNA
Rfam family: Bacterial large subunit ribosomal RNA
Source: RNAcentral